CUGGGAAGUUAGUUCAUUUCAGUCUAUGCCGUGAGCUAGCCAGCGGUGGCUCUGAAAUGGACUCAAACUCUAG
Chlorocebus sabaeus (green monkey) is the source of this 73-nucleotide microRNA precursor. The record is from Ensembl. Lineage: Eukaryota; Metazoa; Chordata; Mammalia; Primates; Cercopithecidae.